UAAUCCAAGUUUCAGUUCAUGUAAACAUCCUACACUCAGCUGUGAUACAUACCAAUGGCUGGGAGGUGGGUGUUUACCUCAGCUGACUUGGAAUGU
This 96-nucleotide microRNA precursor is filed under the name Octodon degus (degu). RNAcentral's name for it is "microRNA 30b (ENSODEG00000021882.1)". The stretch from base 12 to 86 matches the Rfam family "mir-30 microRNA precursor family". From Rfam's summary of the family: This family consists of the mammalian microRNA (miRNA) precursor mir-30a. Animal miRNAs are transcribed as ~70nt precursors and subsequently processed by the Dicer enzyme to give a ~22nt product. Lineage: Eukaryota; Metazoa; Chordata; Mammalia; Rodentia; Octodontidae. The record is from RNAcentral.